Molecule: long non-coding RNA, 612 nt
Organism: Salvia splendens (bonfire salvia)
Lineage: Eukaryota; Viridiplantae; Streptophyta; Magnoliopsida; Lamiales; Lamiaceae
Exons: 3
Source: RefSeq, a predicted model, not a curated record
GCCUAACACUACGAUUUUACCUUAAAAAAUGCAACCGUGAAGAGUGAUAUAAUUAAUGUGUAACGCAAAGAUUAUACCUUAGAAAGGCACCCAAAAAAGCAACUCCAAAGCGGAACGUGAGGCUACCGUCGCACAACCAUAUAUAGUAGCUACAAGCUGCGCAGGCCCAAAUCAUAGAAAUGGGCCUUUCUUUGGUUGGGCUUAAUAACCAAGAAAAAUUUAAAUAGUUAGUUCAAAUGUUGGUGGAAGUCCGCUCUGGGAGAGCAUAGUCAGGCAUGAUGAAGAUGAAGAUGAAGAUGAAGAUGAAGACGAAGAUGAAAAUGAGAUAGAACCAGUUGUCUAACGUUUUUUAUUAAUAUUAAUAUUGUUAUUAAUAUAUUAUGCUCUCCACAAUUGCUCGAAUAUUGGGCUUUAUUAAAGGCCCACCAAUAAGGCCCAAUUUCGCUAAAACCCAUAUCCAACUCCGUGGCAUCCGGCAACACCACCGACCACCGGUCACCCCUUUCUCGGAGAAAUUGAGGAUUUCUUAAAAACUAUGAAAAAAAAUUCAUAUUCAACAGGUCAAAUGCUUCGAACAAAAGUAAUAUGGGUAACCCAAAUAUGUUUUUUACA